RNAcentral lists this long non-coding RNA (665 nucleotides) under Nilaparvata lugens (brown planthopper). Its description in RNAcentral is "uncharacterized LOC120352364, transcript variant X2". The record is from RNAcentral. Lineage: Eukaryota; Metazoa; Arthropoda; Insecta; Hemiptera; Delphacidae.
CGUACAUUUGCAUUUUGCAACAGAAACAGCUUCUUAUAGAGUAUUGUUUUACAGGCUAAUCUUUUUUUAUGUAAUGUAUUCAAAUGUAAUUAUAAUUAGGAUUGGGAUAAUACAAAAAUAUACUUUUUGCUUAGUGAUAAACUUAUCUAUUACAUUGUGACAGAAUUUGGUUUCUCAAUAAUUCUCAUCCUGAGAUUGAAUCCACAAAAUAAUUGAAGAAAUGGUUUCAGAUGAUUACGAACAAGCGCAGCUAUCUUUGGAGAGGUAAUGCACCUACUGAUAUCCCGUGAUAAGAACUUGGGAGAGAUUUAGUGAAAACCUGGAGAACGGCCACUUAGCUCACAAAUCUGAGCUGUUCACAUAAAGCUGAUAUUUGUGACAGCCAUUGUAGCUUUAAUCAUUUUCUCGAUUGAUCAAAGCACCACAGACUGCAUCGUUCGUCACCUCUGCCUUUAAGCGCGUUAUCACCUACUCCAAUAAGCCACCCCAAUAUCCUUAAUAAGCAAUAGAAGUUCUUAUCGACUGUGUAUGACUCAUUAAUAUCCAUGUUCUGUAUAAAUUUAUGUGAUAGGCCUACUGGUAUUAAUGUUGAUGUACCGUAAUGUUUUUUGCUCAUGUAUAAUUGAUAAUAAUACAUUAAAAAUAAAUAUAAUGUUAAAUUAUUA